CCUGAACGCUGGCGGCGUGGCUAAGACAUGCAAGUCGCACGGGGCCGUAGCAAUACGGUCCAGUGGCGAACGGGUGAGUAAUGAAUCGCUAACGUGCCCCGGACUCUGGGAUAGCUAGCCGAAAGGCUAGGUAAUACCAGAUGACAUAUCCCUCCUGCAUGGGAGGGAUCUCAAAGGUCCGCCGGUCUGGGAGCGGGCGAUUUCGUAUCAGCUAGUUGGUGAGGAACGGCUCACCAAGGCGACGACGCGUAGCCGGACUGAGAGGUUGGCCGGCCACAUUGGGACUGAGACACUGCCCAGACUCCUACGGGGGGC
This 315-nucleotide ribosomal RNA is filed under the name uncultured bacterium. RNAcentral describes it as "bacterial SSU rRNA". It matches the Rfam family "Bacterial small subunit ribosomal RNA", at positions 30 to 349 of the family's 1533-position model. The record is from RNAcentral.